AUCACACAGGAAGUGAGUCACAUUUCCAUGCACGCUCGUUAACUCAACAAGCACGUUGUGAGCACUGAGAGAAACCUUUAGAAAGCCACGAUGAAGGCCGCUGAAAACGUGAAGGAACCGCACCUCGGGCCCAGUUCGGCCGCGUGCCGACCCGGAAACGUCGUGAACACGUUUGCACUCUCUCUGGCCCGUGACGUCAUCGGCUGGCUCUUACGUGUCCAAAGCGACCGGGGAGGUGACCGAGACCAAGUUGGCGCGCUUGCCCGCCAGCUGGCCAAAAGCGUCAUCACUCCCGCUCUUCACAGAGUUCAAAUGCUGGAAACGACACGCGACGACGUCGAUUAAGUGUAUUUCGUUGGCAAUAAAUGUUCAUCCAAAUUGGAUGAAGCAAAAUGUUCUUGCAAUACGUCCUAAUGUCCACUAGAUGGUAGCACAAGAAAAUUCUCGGGAAACAUUGACAAGGGCCAUAGUUAUGAAUGCGCCAACGCAAUGAAGCAGCCCGACUAACCGACGUGCCUAUAUGGCGGCCAUGUUGGGAAGGUCAACCCUCCCAUAGAAAGGAACGCAUCGACACUAAAAUUAAGUCAUAAAUUGCUUAUUCCUCAAUCGCUUUUCAUGAGGGUUACUGUUUUGUCAACGCCAAAGCGUAUGCUAUUGAUAAAAAAAAAAAAAAAGUAAAAAUGAAUCUAUUUAAACAUUUGUAAUGUGAAAGGGACUCCCAGUUCCCUUGUAAUUGUACGGCACUUUGCGAAACCGUAUGCAACACAACGUACCGGCAUCAUUGGUCUUUUACUUUUCUACCCGUACACACACAUGGAAUGCGCGGACAACGUCGGCCUCCCUAGCUUAGCGUCGCCGUCGGCACGGAGCUCAAAAUGGGUGUGUUGUAUCUACCAAUACAUAUGUCAGAAUCAUCUUUAUUUGCAAAUUAUGUCAAAAACACACAAGGAAUUAGUCUCCGGUAGUUAGAGCCGCUCUAGUCCGACAACAGACAGCCAUUUCACAGAAAAUACUUUUGAAACAUCAAAACUUAAAAAACAGUUUGGAGAGUCACUGAGCAAUGAAAGGUUACCGGUAAUGCAGAUACAAUAUAUAUAUUCUUUUCUUUUUAAAAAGUGUGCAAAUGAUGCAGAAUCCUCUAGCAAAUUGGAGCAGUUUGAAAUGACUAAUAGAGCGAUAAUCUGGCACAGGAACCAUUGUGCAAAUGGUGCAGAUUUAAAAAAUUUAAGUAGUGCGAUAAUCUGGAACAGUGUCAAUUGUACAAAUGGUGCAGAUACUUCUCAAGCACAUGAGUGGCCGGUAUUGGUCAACAAAAGAUGUGCAAAUAGUGGAGCGUGGCGGGACUACGACAGUGAGUGCACGAAUAAUGUAUAAUCGGCCCAACAGAGAUGUGACAACAAUCUCGAGACAUCAUUGGCAGCAUGUUACAAUGGAAUUGUAAGUUAACUGUUUAAGAAGUUAAUGGCAAGAGGGAAGAAGCUGUUGGAAUGUCUGCUAGCUUUAGUUUGCAUUGUUCGAUAGCGCCUACCUGAGGGAAGAAGCUGGAAGAGGUGGUUACCAGGAUGUGGAGGGUCCAAGAGGAUUUUGCAUGCUAUAUCUUAGUUCUGGCAGUGUGCAAAUCCUCAAGGGUGAGUAGUGGGGUACCAACAACAACCUUUCAGCAGUUUUCAUUGUCCGUUGCAGUUGGAGUUUGUCAUUUUUUGUGGCAGCCCCAAACCAGCCUGUGAUGAAAGGACACAGAACCGAUUUGAUGACCGCUGGGUAGAACUGCCUCAAGAGCUCCUUUGGCAGGCUGUGCCUCCUCAGAAGCCGCAGGAAGAACUUGAAGAUCUCGACGGUUGACACAUGGCAGUUGGACAGCAUGAGGGGCAGCUGUGGCGGGAGAUGCCUCCUGAAGUCCACGAUCAUCUUUACAGUCUUGAGCGUGUUCAGCUCCACCACAACUCCAGCCGCUCCGCUCCCUGCCAAUAUGCAGACUCCUCACCUUCUUUGAUGAGGGCGGUGCUGGUGGUGCGUCCAGGCUCUCCUGCUGUGUCCUGCCUGUCAGGAAGCUGUAAAUCCACUGGCAGAUGGCAGGCGAGACACUGAGCUGGAGAAGCUUGGAGAGGAGUUCGGGGAUGAUGGUGUCGAACGCAGAGCUGAAGUCCACGAACAGGAUCCUCGCAUAGGUUUCCGCACAGUCCCAUGUUGUCUGCGUCAUCCACAGACCUGUUUCCUCAGUAGGCAAA
Long non-coding RNA from Phycodurus eques (leafy seadragon), 2228 nucleotides. RefSeq lists it as uncharacterized. The transcript has 3 exons. NCBI's taxonomy places the organism in Eukaryota, Metazoa, Chordata, Actinopteri, Syngnathiformes, Syngnathidae. The record is from RefSeq and is a predicted model, not a curated record.